CCUGGGCAUAGUCGCUUGUUCUCCGCCCGCGGUGGACCAGCUGCGUAACGGUUCACACACUGAUGGCGCCUGGAGGUUUGGCGAAAUACUGACAGGAUGCGACGUCAACGGGAGCGCAGGGCCAAGAUACCCUUUAUAUCAAACCGUCUAUCCUGGAGCAGAAAAAUCCUGUCUUCAUUGCUAUAGCUACAGAUUCAGAAAUGAGCAUGUAACAAAUUCAGGCCAAAGAGAGGCAAUGGAAAUCAGAGAAACACUGUUCCUGAAAGCUUCUGUCACUCAAGAAUCCAUGAAACAUUCAUGAACUUCACAUCAGAAGCCAAGCCCAGAAAAUAUGGGUUUAAGGUUUGCCUAUAUGUCCAAUACAAGAGAAAAAAGAACAUUCCACUUCUUUAGAAGGUUCUACUUUGAUCUCCUGUGUUAUACUGGAGGACUUUCUCUUUGGAAUUGCUGUGCAAAUAAGGUCACUGGGUAAUAGGAUGUAAAGAGGAGUUCUCAAAACAACCUCACAGACCCAGAAUAAUCAAAACAAUUGAAGACUUAACUUCAAUUUCAAAACUUACCACAGAGCAAGAGUAAUCAAGACAGUAUGGUACUUCCCUAAGGACAAACAUAUAUGAAUGAAAGAGAAACCAGAUUUUGGAAAUUUUAAAGAGUGUCAAGACCAUUCAGCAAGGAAUGAAUAGUCUUUUCAACAAAUUGUGAGACAAUAGAUAUUCACAUGCAAAAAAUGUACCUGGACUCCUACCUCACGCCAUAUAAAAAUAUUAACUCAAAAUGGAUUAUAGGGAGGAAGUGGAGGAAGAUGACCAGAAAAAACCUUCCAGUGAUUAUCCCUAACUUGCCCUGCAGGAAGACCAAAUUGAACAACUAUCCACAAAGGAAAGCACCAUCAUAUGAGGCAAAAAUCAGAUAUGUCCUGAGAGUUUCUGAAGUUAUUUAACUGGUUCAAUGAGAAUUUAAUCAAGGUCUGCUUUAUAUCAAAAUUUAUGAUUUUUAUUCAAUGCCAUACAUAGAAUUUGUUCACAGUUAUCAUCAAACACACUCAUGUAAGUAAAUUCUAUUAGAAAAACAUGUUCUUCGGUGGUCAGAAUAUUCUGGGACUUUAGGUUAAAAUGUAUAAAUGUCAAAGUUGCAACUCAGGUUGCUAUUUUUUAUUUUUAACAGGCAUAUGCAUAGUCCUACUUCUUUUCAUUGAGUCAUUUUUGUUGGUUUAACUUUUAAAUAGUAUAUACAUUUUUCCUCUGGAACAGUUCUUGGCUAGUUUGACAGCCUUGGCAGUGUUUUCUGGGUGAGAAGUAGUUUAUAGCACUGCCUUUUAAUAGUGAGAACCAAAUGAACAGCAUAUCUAGGCAGUGAAUAAUCUUAGCACAUAGCACUCAAAUGACACGCAGUCUGAGGAAAAUGUGUAGGAGAAACUAAGUCUUACAGGGCUCCACAGCUCAGAGAUAAAAACAUAGAACAUUUGAGAUUGUACAAAACUUUCUAGUGUAUGGUGAUUAUUGAGUGUUUGUGAAUGGUUAUGUAGCAGAUGUGUAAAUAAAUGUAUCUUGUUGAGUAGAAGAUGUCACAGAAGAGAAUUCAUGAAAAUGAAAGCCACAGGCAUUGCAAAAAAUGAAAUGAUUUAACUCUUAUAUUUGUCUAUGGAUAGUAUUAUCAUAAUUAUACACAAUUAGAUCUGAUGUUCUGAAAUACUCUUCAAGAACAAUUUAAAACAUCACACUAGAUGUCCAGAGGUUAUCAACUAGAAGCCUGUUGACAGGUUAUUAGAAACACAUUGUUUGACAAUUUCUAUUUGAUUGGCUAUAGUCAGGAUACAUAUUCUCCCACCUGCUGUAGUUCUCACCAAUUGCUAU
This is a long non-coding RNA of Homo sapiens (human), 1853 nucleotides long. Ensembl annotates it as POT1 antisense RNA 1. Its record names the gene POT1-AS1. The record is from Ensembl. Lineage: Eukaryota; Metazoa; Chordata; Mammalia; Primates; Hominidae.